This 107-nucleotide small nuclear RNA is filed under the name Meriones unguiculatus (Mongolian gerbil). Lineage: Eukaryota; Metazoa; Chordata; Mammalia; Rodentia; Muridae. The record is from RNAcentral.
GUGCUCGCUUCGGCAGCACAUGUACUAAAAUUGAAACGAUACAGAGAAGAUUAGCAUGGCCCCUGUGCAAGGAUGACACACAAAUUCAUAAAGCAUUCCAUAUUUUU